CAUUCUGAUGAUUUAACCUUUACAUUUAUAACUUUCGUUCUACCGACUGCGAUCAAACGAUCUUGUGGAAACCUUUACUCUGAUU
This 85-nucleotide small nucleolar RNA is filed under the name Petasospora fabianii. RNAcentral describes it as "Cyberlindnera fabianii Small nucleolar RNA snR54". It matches the Rfam family "Small nucleolar RNA snR54". From Rfam's summary of the family: snR54 is a member of the C/D class of snoRNA which contain the C (UGAUGA) and D (CUGA) box motifs. Most of the members of the box C/D family function in directing site-specific 2'-O-methylation of substrate RNAs. The record is from Rfam by way of RNAcentral. Lineage: Eukaryota; Fungi; Ascomycota; Saccharomycetes; Phaffomycetales; Wickerhamomycetaceae.